Molecule: transfer RNA, 73 nt
Filed under: Ailuropoda melanoleuca (giant panda)
Lineage: Eukaryota; Metazoa; Chordata; Mammalia; Carnivora; Ursidae
Rfam family: tRNA
About the family: Transfer RNA (tRNA) molecules are approximately 80 nucleotides in length.
Source: Rfam by way of RNAcentral
ACCUGGCUGGCUCAGUUGGUAGAGCAUGCGACUCUUGAUCUCAGGGUUGUGAGUUUGAGCCCCAUGUUUGGUG